CAUAUUGUCACGUCAUGUGUUUAUUUGAGUGCAGAAUUAGAUUGCAAAAGUGUCUCAAAAUCUUUCACUGUAUAUAUAUAUUUAAAAAAUCUAAAUGAACCUGUUGAGGAUAACAGAAUAAAAAAAUUAACUAUAACAAAAAUAAAUUUUUUUUACAAGUCUCAUUGAUAUAAAGGUCAUAUUGUGACGUUUUAUGUCAGUGUCUGUGUGAAAGAGUGAAUGCUUACCUCUGGUGUGUUGACGUGCAUAUUGAGAAACUCAAGCAGGAAUCUCCCUUUUAUAGCUGGAUGAUUGACUCACUGCCCCAGUGAAUCACCCCGCUCCAGUCUAGUCUGGUUUGCCAUUGUCGUCCACCAUCGGCUUAAAUCCUGUAGAAGACCCUUUCCACAUGUUCUGGUCCGAGACACCAAGGCUCCAGGUUACUUUGACAGAACUUGAGACCAUGUACAGGAGGAACCAGAGAGGGAGACAGGAGGAAAGGUUGCCGUUCUCCCCAGUGGCCACAGCCUUAAUUGGGAUGACGGUAAGUGUUGGCCACUGUUUGUUGGAUGGAAAGCUCUAGGCUUGAGUGAACAGGUGAGUGAGUUUAAUCUCAGCUCAGAGCCUGGAGAAAUUCGACCUUACUUUUCUGAAAGAAACAGCACUUCAACGUGCUCCUAAGCAUGGAUUUGUUCUAUUUUUUUUUUUUUUUUUCAGUUAAAAAAGCAUCAGUUGUGUUUUAGGCUUUCUCUUUCAAUGUCCCACUCUGAAAGAAAUGUUAGUUUUCAAGAUGCCAGUCUUCGACGGAUAGAGAUUCUCACUGAAAAAAAAAAAUGUAUUAGCUAUAGAGGAUUCCAGAUUUUCAUUAUAGAUAGACAUUUUUCUGUUUCUUUUUACAUACAAAAGUUAAAGCAUAUCUAACAUAUAGUGACAGGAAUGCAGUUCAAAAUAAGAAGAGAUAUUGGGUACAAAUAUGAGUAUGAUUGCAUACAGAGAGAAGCAGUUAUUGCUGCCUACUGGAGCAGCUGCCUUCUAAACAAAUGUUGUUCCAUGUUGAAAACUUUGAUGUUAGCAUGUUGCUAAGAUAAUCAGCCUGUCAGACAC
This is a long non-coding RNA of Cyprinus carpio (common carp), 1083 nucleotides long. The record is from Ensembl. NCBI's taxonomy places the organism in Eukaryota, Metazoa, Chordata, Actinopteri, Cypriniformes, Cyprinidae.